CGGUAUAUGGCUCAAGGGAAGAGCAUCGGUCCGAAAGGCCGAAGGUGCGGGUUCGAGUCCCGUUAUACCAC
RNAcentral lists this transfer RNA (71 nucleotides) under Novosphingobium mangrovisedimenti. RNAcentral describes it as "tRNA-Phe". It matches the Rfam family "tRNA". Rfam says of the family: Transfer RNA (tRNA) molecules are approximately 80 nucleotides in length. Their secondary structure includes four short double-helical elements and three loops (D, anti-codon, and T loops). Further hydrogen bonds mediate the characteristic L-shaped molecular structure. tRNAs have two regions of fundamental functional importance: the anti-codon, which is responsible for specific mRNA codon recognition, and the 3' end, to which the tRNAs corresponding amino acid is attached (by aminoacyl-tRNA synthetases). tRNAs cope with the degeneracy of the genetic code in two manners: having more than one tRNA (with a specific anti-codon) for a particular amino acid; and 'wobble' base-pairing, i.e. permitting non-standard base-pairing at the 3rd anti-codon position. Lineage: Bacteria; Pseudomonadati; Pseudomonadota; Alphaproteobacteria; Sphingomonadales; Sphingomonadaceae. The record is from RNAcentral.